Molecule: non-coding RNA, 48 nt
Filed under: Trichobilharzia regenti
Lineage: Eukaryota; Metazoa; Platyhelminthes; Trematoda; Strigeidida; Schistosomatidae
Source: RNAcentral
AUCCAGCUGAGGAGUCCCAAAUAGGACGAAAUGCGCCUGAUCCUGGAU